GACGAACGCUGGCGGCGUGCUUAACACAUGCAAGUCGAACGGAAAGGCCCUGCUUUUGUGGGGUGCUCGAGUGGCGAACGGGUGAGUAACACGUGAGUAACCUGCCCUUGACUUUGGGAUAACUUCAGGAAACUGGGGCUAUACCGGAUAGGAGCUCCUUCUGCCUGGUUGGGGUUGGAAAGUUUCGGCGGUUGGGGAUGGACUCGCGGCUUAUCAGCUUGUUGGUGGGGUAGUGGCUUACCAAGGCUUUGACGGGUAGCCGGCCUGAGAGGGUGACCGGCCACAUUGGGACUGAGAUACGGCCCAGACUCCUACGGGAGGCAGCAGUGGGGAAUAUUGCACAAUGGGCGGAAGCCUGAUGCAGCAACGCCGCGUGCGGGAUGACGGCCUUCGGGUUGUAAACCGCUUUCGCCUGUGACGAAGCGUGAGUGACGGUAAUGGGUAAAGAAGCACCGGCUAACUACGUG
This 467-nucleotide ribosomal RNA is filed under the name uncultured bacterium. Its description in RNAcentral is "partial 16S ribosomal RNA". It matches the Rfam family "Bacterial small subunit ribosomal RNA", at positions 28 to 507 of the family's 1533-position model. The record is from RNAcentral.